UGGGGAAUAUUGCACAAUGGGCGCAAGCCUGAUGCAGCCAUGCCGCGUGUAUGAAGAGGCCUUCGGGUUGUAAGUACUUUCAGCGAGGAGGAAGGCAUUAAGGUUAAUAACCUUAGUGAUUGACGUUACUCGCAGAAGAAGCACCGGCUAACUCCGUGCCAGCAGCCGCGGUAAUACGGAGGGUGCAAGCGUUAAUCGGAAUUACUGGGCGUAAAGCGCACGCAGGCGGUCUGUUAAGUCAGAUGUGAAAUCCCCGGCUCAA
RNAcentral lists this ribosomal RNA (262 nucleotides) under uncultured Raoultella sp. Its description in RNAcentral is "partial 16S ribosomal RNA". It matches the Rfam family "Bacterial small subunit ribosomal RNA", at positions 355 to 612 of the family's 1533-position model. Lineage: Bacteria; Pseudomonadati; Pseudomonadota; Gammaproteobacteria; Enterobacterales; Enterobacteriaceae. The record is from RNAcentral.